RNAcentral lists this ribosomal RNA (507 nucleotides) under uncultured bacterium. RNAcentral describes it as "partial 16S ribosomal RNA". It matches the Rfam family "Bacterial small subunit ribosomal RNA", at positions 28 to 507 of the family's 1533-position model. The record is from RNAcentral.
GACGAACGCUGGCGGCGUGCUUAACACAUGCAAGUCGAACGGGCCUUGUCCCCUUUUUUUUGGGGGUGGGGUUAGUGGCGUACGGGUGAGUAACACGUGAGUAACCUGCCCCUCACUUCUGGAUAACCGCUUGAAAGGCUGGCUAAUACGGGGUGUUCUGGCCUGCUCGCAUGGGUGGGUUUGGAAAGAUUCGACCGGUUUUGGUUGUUUUUGUGGGGGCUGGGCUCGCGGCCUAUCAGCUUGUUGGUGGGGUGAUGGCCUGCCAAGGCUUUGACGGGUAGCCGGCCUGAGAGGGUGGGCGGUCACACUGGGACUGAGACACGGCCCAGACUCCUACGGGAGGCAGCAGUGGGGAAUAUUGCACAAAGGGCGCAAGCCUGAUGCAGCGACGCCGCGUGAGGGAUGGAGGCCUUCGGGUUGAGAACCUCUUUCGCAAGUGAAGAAGGUACUGCUCUUUGUGGUGGGGUUGACGGUAGCUGGGUUAAUGAAGCGCCGGCUAACUACGUG